This 497-nucleotide ribosomal RNA is filed under the name uncultured bacterium. RNAcentral describes it as "partial 16S ribosomal RNA". It matches the Rfam family "Bacterial small subunit ribosomal RNA", at positions 28 to 507 of the family's 1533-position model. The record is from RNAcentral.
GAUGAACGCUGGCGGCGUGCCUAAUACAUGCAAGUAGAACGCUGAAGGAAGGAGCUUGCUCUUUCCGGAUGAGUUGCGAACGGGUGAGUAACGCGUAGGUAACCUGCCUGGUAGCGGGGGAUAACUAUUGGAAACGAUAGCUAAUACCGCAUAACAGUAGAUGUUGCAUGAUAUCUACUUAAAAGGUGCACUUGCACCACUACCAGAUGGACCUGCGUUGUAUUAGCUAGUUGGUGAGGUAACGGCUCACCAAGGCGACGAUACAUAGCCGACCUGAGAGGGUGAUCGGCCACACUGGGACUGAGACACGGCCCAGACUCCUACGGGAGGCAGCAGUAGGGAAUCUUCGGCAAUGGACGGAAGUCUGACCGAGCAACGCCGCGUGAGUGAAGAAGGUUUUCGGAUCGUAAAGCUCUGUUGUAAGAGAAGAACGAGUGUGAGAGUGGAAAGUUCACACUGUGACGGUAUCUUACCAGAAAGGGACGGCUAACUACGUG